AUCUUUGUUUCUGUGUAGUUGCAUCCUGUUUCUGUCUGAAAACCCUUGUCUUUCUGAAUCCAUCUUUCAGUCUCUCACGUUCUGUCUCUCCCCUCCUCCUUCACCUUCCCUCCAUCCCUCUCCCUUGCGCACUUGCCGGGUACCAGCUGAGUGCAUCCUUUUCCCAAACCUGCUCUGCUUCCAAGGGGCCCUUUUCUGUCUCCUCCACCUGUCCCCAUGUUUUGGGGACUGCCUGGAAAUCUGGGACACCCUCCUGAGGAGGGAGCUGGUGCCCAACGGCACCUCUUAGGAUGAACCCCGCCAGCUGCGUUCCUGGCCUCUGCAGAAUGGCAUACAGAAGGCAUUUUAAGCAAGCGAGCUGAGCUCGCCGCAGGACUCCGACUACCAGGCACCGGCAAGAUGUGGGAAUCCUGACAGGUUGCCGCUGAAGAUCCUGCAGUUGGUGUGUGCAAGCUGACAGCCAGGCCGCUGCCGGAGGAAGGGGGUCCUCUGUGCUUUGCAUGUCUCUGGGUAUUUGGGAAACUUGGCAGCCAGUUGCUCUAAGUGAACCCUGACUCUGGAGUAGGCACUGGGCACCCUGGCGGAGAGGACAGAGCCGGAGACAAGGACUGGCCUCAGGGAGUUUCCAGUUCAAAUAGGAACAGACCCGAUCACACGCGAUACGCUCACCCUCAGACACAUUGCUGCUGCCUGCAUUUCCUCCGGGCUGCCAUCCCCCUUCCCCUGCCCUGGCCUCUGUCUGCCACGGCUGCCCUUGUCUACCUGCCAAGCUCUAAUUAUCGUUAAACAUCCCCUGUCACUGCUUCCCGGAAAUCUUUAACUUCCACCCAAGAACAG
This 837-nucleotide long non-coding RNA is filed under the name Pan troglodytes (chimpanzee). RNAcentral describes it as "long non-coding RNA NONPTRT005915". The record is from RNAcentral. Lineage: Eukaryota; Metazoa; Chordata; Mammalia; Primates; Hominidae.